UGGGGAAUAUUGCACAAUGGGCGCAAGCCUGAUGCAGCAACGCCGCGUGAGGGAUGACGGCCUUCGGGUUGUAAACCUCUUUUAGUAGGGAAGAAGCGAAAGUGACGGUACCUGCAGAAAAAGCACCGGCUAACUACGUGCCAGCAGCCGCGGUAAUACGUAGGGUGCGAGCGUUGUCCGGAAUUAUUGGGCGUAAAGAGCUCGUAGGCGGUCUGUCGCGUCUGCUGUGAAAACCCGAGGCUCAACCUCGGGCCUGCAGUGGGUACGGGCAGACUAGAGUGCGGUAGGGGAGAAUGGAAUUCCUGGUGUAGCGGUGGAAUGCGCAGAUAUCAGGAGGAACACCGAUGGCGAAGGCAGUUCUCUGGGCCGUAACUGACGCUGAGGAGCGAAAGCGUGGGGAGCGAACAGGAUUAGAUACCCUGGUAGUCCACGCCGUAAACGUUGGGCGCUAGAUGUGGGGACCAUUCCACGGUUUCCGUGUCGCAGCUAACGCAUUAAGCGCCCCGCCUGGGGGAGUACGGCCGCAAGGCUAAAACU
RNAcentral lists this ribosomal RNA (537 nucleotides) under uncultured bacterium. RNAcentral describes it as "partial 16S ribosomal RNA". It matches the Rfam family "Bacterial small subunit ribosomal RNA", at positions 355 to 901 of the family's 1533-position model. The record is from RNAcentral.